AGUUGAGCGGGGAUAUAUGGAGCUUGCUUUAUAUAACUUAGCAGCGAACGGGUGAGUAACACGUAGAUAAUCUAUCCUAUACUGGGGGAUAGCCCGAUGAAAGUUGGAUUAAUACCGCAUAUAGCUAUAUAGUUGCAUGAUUAUGUAGUGAAAGAUUUAUUGGUAUAGGAGGAGUCUGCGGCACAUUAGCUAGUAGGUGAGGUAAAGGCUUACCUAGGCGACGAUGUGUAGCCGGUCUGAGAGGAUGAACGGCCACAAUGGAACUGAGACACGGUCCAUACUCCUACGGGAGGCAGCAGUGGGGAAUAUUGCACAAUGGGGGAAACCCUGAUGCAGCAACGCCGCGUGAGUGAAGAAGGUUUUCGGAUUGUAAAGUUCUGUUAGCAGGGAAGAGGAAGGACGGUACCUGCAGAGGAAGCCACGGCUAACUACGUGCCAGCAGCCGCGGUAAUACGUAGGUGGCAAGCGUUGUUCGGAAUAACUGGGCGUAAAGGAUGCGUAGGCGGUUAAACAAGUUAUAUGUUAAAUAUAUAGGCUUAACCUGUAGAAAGCAUAUAAAACUGUUUAACUAGAGUGCAGGAGAGGUAAGUGGAAUUCCUAGUGUAGCGGUGAAAUGCGUAGAGAUUAGGAAGAACACCAGUGGCGAAGGCGACUUACUGGACUGUAACUGACGCUGAGGCAUGAGAGCAUGGGGAGCAAACAGGAUUAGAUACCCUGGUAGUCCAUGCUGUANACGAUGGGGACUAGNUGUGGGUUGUGAAUAACAAUUCGUGCCGU
This 777-nucleotide ribosomal RNA is filed under the name uncultured bacterium. RNAcentral's name for it is "bacterial SSU rRNA". It matches the Rfam family "Bacterial small subunit ribosomal RNA", at positions 60 to 849 of the family's 1533-position model. The record is from RNAcentral.